GACGAACGCUGGCGGCGUGCCUAAUACAUGCAAGUCGAGCGGACGGAUGGGAGCUUGCUUCCAGACCGUCAGCGGCGGACGGGUGAGUAACACGUGGGCAACCUGCCUGUAAAACCGGGAUAACUUUGGGAAACCGGGGCCAAUUCCCGAUUAAUCUAUCCAUCACCAGAGGGAAAGAUGAAAAAUGGCAUUUCGCUAUCACUUUAAGUUGGGCCCGCGCCGCAUUAGCUAGUUGGUGAGGUAACGGCUCACCAAGGCGACGAUGCGUAGCCGACCUGAGAGGGUGAUCGGCCACACUGGAACUGAGACACGGCCCAGACUCCUACGGGAGGCAGCAGUAGGGAAUCUUCCGCAAUGGGCGAAAGUCUGACGGAGCAACGCCGCGUGAGUGAUGAAGGUCUUCGGAUCGUAAAACUCUGUUAUCAGGGAAGAACAAGUACCGAAGCAACUGCCGGUGCCUUGACGGUACCUGACCAGAAAGCCACGGCUAACUACGUG
RNAcentral lists this ribosomal RNA (498 nucleotides) under uncultured bacterium. RNAcentral describes it as "partial 16S ribosomal RNA". It matches the Rfam family "Bacterial small subunit ribosomal RNA", at positions 28 to 507 of the family's 1533-position model. The record is from RNAcentral.